Long non-coding RNA from Anguilla rostrata (American eel), 640 nucleotides. RefSeq lists it as uncharacterized. The transcript is spliced from 2 exons. The record is from RefSeq and is a predicted model, not a curated record. NCBI's taxonomy places the organism in Eukaryota, Metazoa, Chordata, Actinopteri, Anguilliformes, Anguillidae.
ACGUACAUGAUGAUACAUGUCCAGGAACAGGAUGGGCCAGCCCUGAUAUAAAGAGGUGGUGCAGUGGGUAGCACUGUCGCCUCACAGCUAGUUUGAAUCUGGCCUAGGUCUCCUUCGGUUUCCUCCCACAGGUAGGCUAACUGGAGAGGUGUGAAUGAAUGGCGUGUGCCCUGCAAUUGAUUGGUGGCCUGUCCAGUGUGUAUUCCUGCCUCUCGCUCAAUGCACUCUGGGAUAGGCCCCAGCACCCCUUGUGAUCCUGCCCAGAAUAAGUGCCUAUGAUUAGGAGCUGAUUGCACCUGUAGUGCCCCUCCCCCUUCAAAAGGGCUCAGUGGAGAGUGGAGAGUCAGACUCCUAGCUGGCAGCAUUCCAUCUUGUUUGAUCCCUCUUCCCCUUUAGUUUUUUUGUCUAAGUUUCCUAUUUUUCCUUUUUCUUUAGGGGAGGGAGGUCUGGUAGUCUAGUUAUCGUGGCUUUAUUGUAGUAGUUUAGUUUUUUCUCUGCUUUGUUAGUUUAGGGUGAAGUCCUGGCCCAGGCUUCUCCUUCCUUUUGUUCUUUUUGGCCAGACCUCCCUGCUCUUAUUGCUUCAUUAUUCGUGAGUAUUUUCAUGUUUUGUUAAAUAAAUGCAUUUUCUUGUUUAUUCUAA